This is a long non-coding RNA of Eriocheir sinensis (Chinese mitten crab), 270 nucleotides long. RefSeq lists it as uncharacterized. NCBI's taxonomy places the organism in Eukaryota, Metazoa, Arthropoda, Malacostraca, Decapoda, Varunidae. The transcript is spliced from 3 exons. The record is from RefSeq and is a predicted model, not a curated record.
AGAGGGAGGCAGCCGGGAAGAACCACAAGCCACACAGUGCAGGAAAGAUGCUUCGCUAUCGUGUAAGUUUUGGAAAUGUGAAAUAUCAACAUAACGGAGCUUCCAGUAGUGCUGGAUGGAGUUCGGUGUGCAGCGUGAGCCCAGCAAAGGCUUCACUUCAAGCAUAAGUUCCGUCGCUUCGCAUCACGGUGAAGGAAGCAGAGCUGAUUAGUGGUGCAGCCGCCCCUCUGACGGCAGCCUUUUAUCGUUGAUUGAAGCCCCGGAGCACAG